CCGGCACGGGUAAGUAACACGUAUCCAACCUGCCGUCUACUCUUGGCCAGCCUUCUGAAAGGAAGAUUAAUCCAGGAUGGCAUCAUGAGUUCACAUGUCCGCAUGAUUAAAGGUAUUUUCCGGUAGACGAUGGGGAUGCGUUCCAUUAGAUAGUAGGCGGGGUAACGGCCCACCUAGUCUUCGAUGGAUAGGGGUUCUGAGAGGAAGGUCCCCCACAUUGGAACUGAGACACGGUCCAA
RNAcentral lists this ribosomal RNA (239 nucleotides) under uncultured bacterium. RNAcentral's name for it is "partial 16S ribosomal RNA". It matches the Rfam family "Bacterial small subunit ribosomal RNA", at positions 100 to 334 of the family's 1533-position model. The record is from RNAcentral.